UAAGGGCGCACGGUGGAUGCCUUGGCACUAGAAGCCGAUGAAGGACGUUACUAACGACGAUAUGCUUUGGGGAGCUGUAAGUAAGCUUUGAUCCAGAGAUUUCCGAAUGGGGAAACCCAGCAUGAGUUAUGUCAUGUUAUCGAUAUGUGAAUACAUAGCAUAUCAGAAGGCACACCCGGAGAACUGAAACAUCUUAGUACCCGGAGGAAGAGAAAGAAAAUUCGAUUCCCUUAGUAGCGGCGAGCGAAACGGGAAGAGCCCAAACCAACAAGCUUGCUUGUUGGGGUUGUAGGACACUCUAUACGGAGUUACAAAGGACGACAUUAGACGAAUCAUCUGGAAAGAUGAAUCAAAGAAGGUAAUAAUCCUGUAGUCGAAAAUGUUGUCUCUCUUGAGUGGAUCCUGAGUACGACGGAGCACGUGAAAUUCCGUCGGAAUCUGGGAGGACCAUCUCCUAAGGCUAAAUACUCUCUAGUGACCGAUAGUGAACCAGUACCGUGAGGGAAAGGUGAAAAGCACCCCGGAAGGGGAGUGAAAUAGAACCUGAAACCGUGUGCUUACAAGUAGUCAGAGCCCGUUAAUGGGUGAUGGCGUGCCUUUUGUAGAAUGAACCGGCGAGUUACGAUUUGAUGCAAGGUUAAGCAGUAAAUGUGGAGCCGUAGCGAAAGCGAGUCUGAAUAGGGCGUUUAGUAUUUGGUCGUAGACCCGAAACCAGGUGAUCUACCCUUGGUCAGGUUGAAGUUCAGGUAACACUGAAUGGAGGACCGAACCGACUUACGUUGAAAAGUGAGCGGAUGAACUGAGGGUAGCGGAGAAAUUCCAAUCGAACCUGGAGAUAGCUGGUUCUCUCCGAAAUAGCUUUAGGGCUAGCCUCAAGUGAUGAUUAUUGGAGGUAGAGCACUGUUUGGACGAGGGGCCCCUCUCGGGUUACCGAAUUCAGACAAACUCCGAAUGCCAAUUAAUUUAACUUGGGAGUCAGAACAUGGGUGAUAAGGUCCGUGUUCGAAAGGGAAACAGCCCAGACCACCAGCUAAGGUCCCAAAAUAUAUGUUAAGUGGAAAAGGAUGUGGCGUUGCCCAGACAACUAGGAUGUUGGCUUAGAAGCAGCCAUCAUUUAAAGAGUGCGUAAUAGCUCACUAGUCGAGUGACACUGCGCCGAAAAUGUACCGGGGCUAAACAUAUUACCGAAGCUGUGGAUUGUCCUUUGGACAAUGGUAGGAGAGCGUUCUAAGGGCGUUGAAGCAUGAUCGUAAGGACAUGUGGAGCGCUUAGAAGUGAGAAUGCCGGUGUGAGUAGCGAAAGACGGGUGAGAAUCCCGUCCACCGAUUGACUAAGGUUUCCAGAGGAAGGCUCGUCCGCUCUGGGUUAGUCGGGUCCUAAGCUGAGGCCGACAGGCGUAGGCGAUGGAUAACAGGUUGAUAUUCCUGUACCACCUAUAAUCGUUUUAAUCGAUGGGGGGACG
This 1462-nucleotide ribosomal RNA is filed under the name Staphylococcus aureus. Its description in RNAcentral is "partial 23S ribosomal RNA". It matches the Rfam family "Bacterial large subunit ribosomal RNA", at positions 12 to 1474 of the family's 2925-position model. Lineage: Bacteria; Bacillati; Bacillota; Bacilli; Caryophanales; Staphylococcaceae. The record is from RNAcentral.